GGGGGGGGGGGGGGGGGGGGCUGGGGCAGGGAGGGCGGGGGGGGGGAGGAGGAGCUUGCUCCUCUGACGUUAGCGGCUGGCGGGUGAGUAACCCGUGGAUAACCGCCCUGUCAGCCUGGGCUAACUUCGGGACACCUGACAUAAUACGGGCGAAUAUGUUGAACCGCCUGUUUCAAUAGUGAAAGACUGUUUGUCUGUCACUUAUAGAUGUAUCCGCGUCGCAUUAGCUAGUUGGUAAGGUAACGUCUUACCACGGCAACGAUGCGUAGCCGACCUGAGAGGGUGAUCGGCCACACUGGAACUGAGACACGGUCCAGACGCCUACGGGAGGCAGCAGUAGGGACUCUUCAGCAAUGGGCGAAAGCUUGACGGAGCAACGCCGCGUGAGUGAUGAAGGUCUUCGGAUCGUAAAACUCUGUUAUUAGGGAAGAACAAAUGUGUAAGUAACUAUGCACGUCUUGACGGUACCUAAUCAGAAAGCCACGGCUAACUACGUG
This 497-nucleotide ribosomal RNA is filed under the name uncultured bacterium. Its description in RNAcentral is "partial 16S ribosomal RNA". It matches the Rfam family "Bacterial small subunit ribosomal RNA", at positions 27 to 507 of the family's 1533-position model. The record is from RNAcentral.